RNAcentral lists this ribosomal RNA (870 nucleotides) under Bacillus pumilus. RNAcentral's name for it is "bacterial SSU rRNA". It matches the Rfam family "Bacterial small subunit ribosomal RNA", at positions 17 to 870 of the family's 1533-position model. The record is from RNAcentral. Lineage: Bacteria; Bacillati; Bacillota; Bacilli; Caryophanales; Bacillaceae.
UCAUGGCUCAGGACGAACGCUGGCGGCGUGCUAAUACAUGCAAGUCGAGCGGACAGAAGGGAGCUUGCUCCCGGAUGUUAGCGGCGGACGGGUGAGUAACACGUGGGUAACCUGCCUGUAAGACUGGGAUAACUCCGGGAAACCGGAGCUAAUACCGGAUAGUUCCUUGAACCGCAUGGUUCAAGGAUGAAAGACGGUUUCGGCUGUCACUUACAGAUGGACCCGCGGCGCAUUAGCUAGUUGGUGAGGUAACGGCUCACCAAGGCGACGAUGCGUAGCCGACCUGAGAGGGUGAUCGGCCACACUGGGACUGAGACACGGCCCAGACUCCUACGGGAGGCAGCAGUAGGGAAUCUUCCGCAAUGGACGAAAGUCUGACGGAGCAACGCCGCGUGAGUGAUGAAGGUUUUCGGAUCGUAAAGCUCUGUUGUUAGGGAAGAACAAGUGCAAGAGUAACUGCUUGCACCUUGACGGUACCUAACCAGAAAGCCACGGCUAACUACGUGCCAGCAGCCGCGGUAAUACGUAGGUGGCAAGCGUUGUCCGGAAUUAUUGGGCGUAAAGGGCUCGCAGGCGGUUUCUUAAGUCUGAUGUGAAAGCCCCCGGCUCAACCGGGGAGGGUCAUUGGAAACUGGGAAACUUGAGUGCAGAAGAGGAGAGUGGAAUUCCACGUGUAGCGGUGAAAUGCGUAGAGAUGUGGAGGAACACCAGUGGCGAAGGCGACUCUCUGGUCUGUAACUGACGCUGAGGAGCGAAAGCGUGGGGAGCGAACAGGAUUAGAUACCCUGGUAGUCCACGCCGUAAACGAUGAGUGCUAAGUGUUAGGGGGUUUCCGCCCCUUAGUGCUGCAGCUAACGCAUUAAGCACUCC